Molecule: ribosomal RNA, 497 nt
Filed under: uncultured bacterium
Lineage: Bacteria
Description: partial 16S ribosomal RNA
Rfam family: Bacterial small subunit ribosomal RNA
Source: RNAcentral
GAUGAACGCUGGCGGCGUGCCUAAUACAUGCAAGUCGAGCGAACAGAUGAGGAGCUUGCUCCUCUGACGUUAGCGGCGGACGGGUGAGUAACACGUGGAUAACCUACCUAUAAGACUGGGAUAACUUCGGGAAACCGGAGCUAAUACCGGAUAAUAUAUUGAACCGCAUGGUUCAAUAGUGAAAGACGGUUUUGCAGUCACUUAUAGAUGGAUCCGCGCCGCAUUAGCUAGUUGGUAAGGUAACGGCUUACCAAGGCAACGAUGCGUAGCCGACCUGAGAGGGUGAUCGGCCACACUGGAACUGAGACACGGUCCAGACUCCUACGGGAGGCAGCAGUAGGGAAUCUUCCGCAAUGGGCGAAAGCCUGACGGAGCAACGCCGCGUGAGUGAUGAAGGUCUUCGGAUCGUAAAACUCUGUUAUUAGGGAAGAACAAAUGUGUAAGUAACUAUGCACGUCUUGACGGUACCUAAUCAGAAAGCCACGGCUAACUACGUG